AGUAAACUAAGCUAAAUAAGCUGCUGGGCCCAUACCCCAGAAAUGUAGGCAAAAACCCUACCUCUACUA
Molecule: transfer RNA, 69 nt
Filed under: Zebrias crossolepis
Lineage: Eukaryota; Metazoa; Chordata; Actinopteri; Pleuronectiformes; Soleidae
Description: tRNA-Met
Source: RNAcentral